Long non-coding RNA from Prionailurus viverrinus (fishing cat), 2447 nucleotides. RefSeq lists it as uncharacterized. Lineage: Eukaryota; Metazoa; Chordata; Mammalia; Carnivora; Felidae. The transcript has 5 exons. The record is from RefSeq and is a predicted model, not a curated record.
AAGUGUUAGGGAAACAGAACGCUCCCGUCCGCCAGGACAUGUGAGGGGCCCGUCCCCACUCUGAAAUGGAGACGCCUCACAGCACCUCAGCCGCUCCAGCGACGAAGGAAGACCGAUGAGCCGCGAACGCAAGACGCCGUGACGGGGGCAAGACUCAUACCUCACCGGUUCUCGUGAUUCUGAAGUCCAGUGAGGGGACUGGGUGAACGCGCUCGCAAAUGACAAGGCGCCGCACAAACGCAGGCCGUGCGGAAGCUCCCCCCGGCUUCGGAAGAGCGGAGCUUGGCCGUCGUGAGAUCUCGGGCCGUCCGGCGUCCAGCCCUGUUAGUGCGUGUCCCUCCUGGCUGCCCAGGCCACACCGGUCCCUGCGGUGGGCACGUCGCUCCUCCCGGCUCUGGCCCUCGGCUCUGACCUGCUCCGUUUCCAGCAACAGACUUCGUGUAAGAGGCGCUCAGCGAGGGCCCCCGGGGGGCCUGCCCUGACACGGUGAAGCCCGCCCGAGCGGCACCAGCUCCGGUCGCCAGCGUCCCUGAACAUCUUCGCGAGGGACCAGAGGAGAAGCAGCAUCCAAGAAAGGGUCCGUUUAAACAGCUGCUCCUACAGAUUGUAGCCGGUCGUUGGGGGUGGGAGCAGACGUGGAAAGUGGGUCGUUGUCCGGCCAGGCCCCCAUGCCGACGCACAUCUCACUUGAACCCCACGGGCCCCUCGCCCUCUGCAGCGAAUCGUUUGCCGCGUCCGGCAGCUGCCAUUGGUCAAAGCACGUGGCUCCCCGCCAGGUAGGAUCACGCACGGUGCGUAUUUAUUUCCGUGGAACUGGAUUCCAGCCAGUGUGACAGCACAGAAGAAAAGCGAAUGCCUCUCUCUGUCCAGUGGGGUCCAGUGGGGGCAUGGUGGCCCCAAAGGCAGCCGGGGCCAGGGCAGGCUGUGCACCUGCUUGCGAACGGCUCCCUGAAGAGCAGGGUGGUGAAGUCAGAGUGCAAGUUUGUGGCAGGUUUGUGGGUCCUAAUCCCACCGAAGGAUGAGUUGGUGACAGGACCUUGAGUCUGGGGUUUGCAAGGCGACUUUCCCGCGCCUCCUUCAGGAAAUGUGACUCAGUGGCCAAGCCGGUGUUGGCGUGGCUCUCCCUCCCCUGUCUCUCCCUCCCCCGCCUCCCUUCAGAUGCUGCCUGUCUCUUGCACGCUCAGGGAAUUAGGGCUCCCCUAUGACGCGGACGGCCACUGGAGCAAGAGAUCCAAAGGCAUCUGAGUUUAGGGUAAAAAGAGCCCAGAGCCGGGGAGACGGGUGGGUGGUAGGAUUCGGGGGCUAACGCAGAGUCGGCAGGAGAGGAACGCUCCCGGAGGGUGUGGCUCGUGACCCAGAGCGUCUCCUCCGACCAGAUGCCGCCUCGAAGAUUCUCCCAGAUUAUCUCAGGCUUCCCCCACCCCCCACCAGUCUCCCGGGGAUGACAGAUUCUACAUUGUGUGCCUGAGGUGGACCCCUGACAUCGGAGACGCAUCACCGCCCCCCCCCCCCCCCCCCCCGUGUGUCUACGAACGGGUCGCCGCCCGCGGGCGCAGAGCCCAGGGCCAGUCAGCCCACCGGGCCAGGCAAGAAGGUGACGUUCACAACAGGCUUUACAGGGAAAAGACGUUUCUGCCUCGCGUGACGUCCCUUUGGAGGUGUUUCUCCUUGCUCGGACGCCAGUCGGCAGUCAGGAAACGAACUUCAGUCUCAGAGAGAAGUUUCUCCAGGUGCAGCUGCUACGAGACCCAGCUGUGUGAAGGGGCGCUUCCCUCGGCCUGUCUGUGCCCCUGAUGCAGGCCCUGUGGACCUUGUCCUCUCUAUCUGCCCAGAGGGCCUGUUACCUAGCCGGUACCCAAGGGGGACGUGAUCAGACAAGACACUGCCUGCACCAAUGUCAGUCUUUCCGGCUGCGGAACAACGAGGCCUGAGAAAUUAGGCCGCCCUCCGGCACUGUGUACUGAAGCUUUGCGCAUUCCAGACUCUGAGGAUUCGUCCAGCCCGGUGCCAACGUGCGCAUAGUCUGCAAGUCAACGAUAGUUGAAGCCAAGAGAACACAAAGGUCUGCAAGUCGCUGAAACCUCGACCUGAGGCGAUGUGGACAAUGGAGGAUGCGUAGGGCACAGGAUGGCCGGAAUCGAGCCGCCUUCCCAUCUCGGUUCAGCAGCCGAAAGAGAAGAGGUCCGCUCCUCCAGGGCCCUCCGAUCAAGAUUCAGGAAGAUGGUUCCCCAUAGCCAUCCCCGCAGAGGCACGGCUACGUCCCAGUGGGGGAUAGGAGAACAUCAGAAGAGGCUCGACACUGGUGGGUUCCUCGCCUGGGCUCCCAAUAGACGUCAUCACCAUUUCUCACCGUGAGUUCUGAGCCGUCUGGCAAGUCAGUCAGAGGAACCAGCAUCUGCGGCCAAAACAGCACACGCGUGGCUGAUGAGGCCGACCUUGACGACGCG